AGCGCCGGGUCGCCUGCAUCAGCCAUAAAACCAUUGAGGAUAUCAAGACAGGCGCCAGGUGGUAACUAACUGGGAAAGCCAAAUCCUCUGCCCGGACGAGAGAGGAAAACGAGCCCAGCAGCAGCAUCAACUCCUGAGCACUUUACCUGGAAACUUUGAAGGAGGGCUCUGCAUUAAAAUUUAACCGAUCUAUUCUCUAAUUCUUCACUUUUGCGUUAUUAAUUUAUGACAGAUAAAAGCAUAGCUGAGCCUUUCUCAUUAACUUUUCAAACGCCACUUAAUAUUGUUCCAUUAAAAGAGGUGACUUUAGUAGCCUCUGGAUCGACUUUAAAAGCGAGAGGGAUAAAGACGGAAAAGGUACAUUAAACAGCUUGCUUAAAACUCGUCCUUCCCCCCAACAAUUCCAAUGACACCAUCUCGACUGGUUCGUACUAGCUCCUUGCAGGGGAAAUAUCUUAAUAUUGGGAACGGGAAAGGGGGUGGAGGAGAAAGGCAGAAGAGGGAUAUAUAUCUUUCAACCCCUCCAUCCUCCCAGGCACUUCGGGGAGGGUUGGGGUGAAGGCAUUUCACAGUACGCCCAAGACAUUUCAAUAAAAAUUUAUUGAAACUUCAGUGACUUUUAAAAGGGGAGAAAAAAAUUACAGAAAAAAAAAAUAGCAAGAACUUCUCAACAUUUAUAUAACACAAAAUAUACCUUCAUUUUUUUUUUUUUUCUUUGAACCAGCUCUGAGCACCUGACUUUCAACCCAAGAAAAUAUGCACUCACUCAAACAAAGACAACAAUAAGCACAGUAGUGAAACUCCAUUGCGGGGUUGUUUUCUGACACACUGAGGAAACGGGCAAAAAUAAUAGAAAGUACAGAAAAUCCUAGAAUCUUCACCUCUUUUUUUUUUUUUUUUUCUCUCAAGCCACUGGAGAAGCCUGUUGUCGUGUAUAAACAUAUAUAAUUUUGUGGUUGUUGACAUUUUGAACACCGAAGAAAUCGAGGAUUAAAAGCUACCAUGGCACACUGCUUUGUCUUUUUCUCUCUUUGAAUUUUUUUAAGGUCUUUGAAUAAUUUGGUUUCUUUCUGCUUUGCCUUUUGCAUUCGGCUCCUUGACCAAAGGAGGAGGUUUUUCUGGGCUGAGCUCUGAUUUAAAAACUGAGCCCUCACAAACGGGGGAAUUUCUCCUCUGGGUCGGGAUCUAUGUUUAAAGGAAUUACCAACUUGAAAUGAAAACGACUAAAAAUAAAAACAGAAGGAAACAAAAGAAGACCGCUGCAGUCGUAUUUACAGAGAUAUGUACAAUGUCAAUAAAUUAAAGUUUAAUUUCGAGUAUUCAUAUUCCACGUAUUUACAAGAGUUAUCAAAUAAUUACAUAAAUACUUUGUUUUAAUAAUAGUGUCCACUCUUUUCUUCUUCUCAGUAUGUUAAACCUUGUUAUUGCAUAUACAAUUAAAGAGGGAAAGCUGUGAUAAAUCUACAGUCGAGCUACAGAGGUUUAUAGAUAAAAUAAAUUCACUUUUUUUUUCUUUCCAACUACACGUCUUAUUUUUGUUGCUACAAGGGAGGAUGUUUAAGGUAGAGGGACAAAGGUCUUAUUUUUGUUUUCAUUAUUAUUAAUAAUAAUUUUUUCCCUGGGAUUUGAAACGAGCAUUAAAAAUAAACAACAAAACCCCACUGAAAUAAAAAAUACCACCACCCCCCCUCAAAAAAAAAAAAAAAAAGCAGACUACUCUGGAACAUGCAAAAAAAAAAAAAAGCCACCAACUGGCUCUCAGACAUCACAAUAAUAUUUUAAACACACAGCUUCCCUUAAUAUCGACUAAGGGGGUUGUGGUUAACAACCCGCCCAGGAAACAACUGUUGAAAAACCAAUACGUGAGUUACUUACAAGCUUUUCUUUAGGACAGAAAAAAAAUCACUUCUCUUACUUAAUUUUUAUUCAUAAGUUUGUUUGAUAAUUUUUUUUGUUUUAUUUUUUCUUUUAGGUUUUUUUUCUCUUUUUUUUUUUUUUUUUUUUUUUUCCCGGUGUGUUUUGGUUUUGGGUUUUAUUUUUUUUUUUUUUUACACUGGUAAAAAAGAAAAUUAAAGGAGGAUGCCACAAACCCCACCGGUGCCUCGAUCCCUGUGAGGAGCCUCCGACCCAGCGCUCCCUCAUCCCCGACCCUUUUUUCCCUGCUCCACCAGAUAAACGCCGCGGGAUUUUAUAUUAAAAAAAAAAAAAAUAGAAGUAGGGAGGGAAAAAAAAAUAAAGAAGGGGGUAAAAAACAAACACUC
This is a long non-coding RNA of Melospiza melodia melodia, 2261 nucleotides long. RefSeq lists it as uncharacterized. NCBI's taxonomy places the organism in Eukaryota, Metazoa, Chordata, Aves, Passeriformes, Passerellidae. The transcript is spliced from 2 exons. The record is from RefSeq and is a predicted model, not a curated record.